CUUUUGCUGGCGACCGGCGCACGGGUGAGUAACACGUACCCAACCUGCCCUUUACUCGGGGAUAGCCUUUCGAAAGAAAGAUUAAUACCCGAUAGCAUAAUGAUUCCGCAUGGUUUCAUUAUUAAAGGAUUCCGGUAAAGGAUGGGGAUGCGUUCCAUUAGGUUGUUGGUGAGGUAACGGCUCACCAAGCCUUCGAUGGAUAGGGGUUCUGAGAGGAAGGUCCCCCACAUUGGAACUGAGACACGGUCCAA
This 251-nucleotide ribosomal RNA is filed under the name uncultured bacterium. RNAcentral describes it as "partial 16S ribosomal RNA". It matches the Rfam family "Bacterial small subunit ribosomal RNA", at positions 78 to 334 of the family's 1533-position model. The record is from RNAcentral.